RNAcentral lists this ribosomal RNA (241 nucleotides) under uncultured bacterium. RNAcentral describes it as "partial 16S ribosomal RNA". It matches the Rfam family "Bacterial small subunit ribosomal RNA", at positions 113 to 354 of the family's 1533-position model. The record is from RNAcentral.
CGACGUGAGGAACCUGCCUUCCAGAGGGGGACAACAGUUGGAAACGACUGCUAAUACCGCAUGACGCAUUGGUGUCGCAUGGCACUGAUGUCAAAGAUUUAUCGCUGGAAGAUGGCCUCGCGUCUGAUUAGCUAGUUGGUGAGGUAACGGCCCACCAAGGCGACGAUCAGUAGCCGGACUGAGAGGUUGGCCGGCCACAUUGGGACUGAGAUACGGCCCAGACUCCUACGGGAGGCAGCAG